This 497-nucleotide ribosomal RNA is filed under the name uncultured bacterium. Its description in RNAcentral is "partial 16S ribosomal RNA". It matches the Rfam family "Bacterial small subunit ribosomal RNA", at positions 28 to 507 of the family's 1533-position model. The record is from RNAcentral.
GAUGAACGCUGGCGGCGUGCCUAAUACAUGCAAGUCGAGCGAACAGAUGAGGAGCUUGCUCCUCUGACGUUAGCGGCGGACGGGUGAGUAACACGUGGAUAACCUACCUAUAAGACUGGGAUAACUUCGGGAAACCGGAGCUAAUCCCGGAUAAUAUAUUGAACCGCAUGGUUCAAUAGUGAAAGACGGUUUUGCUGUCACUUAUAGCUGGAUCCGCGCCGCAUUAGCUAGUUGGUAAGGUAACGGCUUACCAAGGCAACGAUGCGUAGCCGACCUGAGAGGGUGAUCGGCCACACUGGAACUGAGACACGGUCCAGACUCCUACGGGAGGCAGCAGUAGGGAAUCUUCCGCAAUGGGCGAAAGCCUGACGGAGCAACGCCGCGUGAGUGAUGAAGGUCUUCGGAUCGUAAAACUCUGUUAUUAGGGAAGAACAAAUGUGUAAGUAACUAUGCACGUCUUGACGGUACCUAAUCAGAAAGCCACGGCUAACUACGUG